Molecule: ribosomal RNA, 468 nt
Filed under: uncultured bacterium
Lineage: Bacteria
Description: partial 16S ribosomal RNA
Rfam family: Bacterial small subunit ribosomal RNA
Source: RNAcentral
GACGAACGCUGGCGGCGUGCUUAACACAUGCAAGUCGAACGGAAAGGCCCUGCUUUUGUGGGGUGCUCGAGUGGCGAACGGGUGAGUAACACGUGAGUAACCUGCCCUUGACUUUGGGAUAACUUCAGGAAACUGGGGCUAAUACCGGAUAGGAGCUCCUGCUGCAUGGUGGGGGUUGGAAAGUUUCGGCGGUUGGGGAUGGACUCGCGGCUUAUCAGCUUGUUGGUGGGGUAGUGUCUUACCAAGGCCUUGACGGGUAGCCGGCCUGCGAGGGUGACCGGCCACGUUGGGACUGAGAUACGGCCCAGACUCCUACGGGAGGCAGCAGUGGGGAAUAUUGCACAAUGGGCGGAAGCCUGAUGCAGCAACGCCGCGUGCGGGAUGACGGCCUUCGGGUUGUAAACCGCUUUCGCCUGUGACGAAGCGUGAGUGACGGUAAUGGGUAAAGAAGCACCGGCUAACUACGUG